GCAUCUUCACUGCCGAAGAAGAAGAAGAAGAAGAAGAAGAAGAAGAAGAAGAAGGAGGAGGAGGAGCUGAGUACACAGAGCAAACACACAAACAUUUAUCUUUGCGAAAGUGUAUUUGAGGUCUGAAACUCUGCUGUUUAUCUCAUAAGUAAUCUGUGAGCAGCAGGUGGCAGCAGACGCUCGUCAGACUGCUGUGAGGGCAUCGGCUGCAGCACACACUCAAGGAUUUCAGCGGAUGAGGCUUCAGUCUGUUUGAGCUCGUCUUGAUCAGUUCCUGAAGCGCUGAGAGUCAUUCAGAGCCUCAGAAGAGAGCUGCACGUGUAAGAUGUCUCCUCUUCACUCAUCAUCAUCUUCCCUCAUCUGUGUCUCAUGAAGAAGAGCUGCAGCUGCUUUGUUUACACUUCGGCUGAAAUGAUUAAAGAGAAUUAUUAAAUAAUUACAUGUAUAAAUUAUCCUGCAUUGGCUGGAUCCAGCUGAAUGAAAAAACACUGUUCUUGUAUUUUAUUGCUGGCUUACUGAAAUGUGAGUCAGAGUUCUUGAGAUUUUGUGAUUUCCCCAUUCAGAGCCAUACAGUUCCUCAGACGUUAACUUUAACUGAACUUCUGAGAAAUCCAGCAGCUCGUGGCAUUCUGGGAAGUGAAGUGUUCAUCAGCAUGUCAAUAUAAACCGCUCUGUCUGUAAGGCCAAGAAAGGACCACAAACUUUUGUUAAAUGUUCAAACAAGACUAUCAUUUUGACAUGCUUCUUUUUACUGAAAAAAAUCACUUAUUAAUGUUGCUAAUAACAUAUCAAUGUUUUAUUCUACUUGGUUUGAAUUUCAGUUCUAGUUCCUGUCUGCCACCUCAGUUCAAGUUCAGGACUAAUCAUAAAAAAGUUAGUCAUCUAAGUGUUUUUUUCUUCAAGACUGGUCAGUACUUAAAGUCAUAACUUGAAAGCUGAUGUCACAAUAAAUGUCAGAAGACCGGGAAGAUUUUAAAACAAGCGGUUUAUUCAUAAAUGUGUAUACCUUCACACUGUGGAAAUACAAACAGAAGACAACAAGUCAAG
Long non-coding RNA from Cyprinus carpio carpio, 1047 nucleotides. Lineage: Eukaryota; Metazoa; Chordata; Actinopteri; Cypriniformes; Cyprinidae. The record is from Ensembl.